RNAcentral lists this ribosomal RNA (499 nucleotides) under uncultured Glomeromycotina. Its description in RNAcentral is "partial small subunit ribosomal RNA". It matches the Rfam family "Eukaryotic small subunit ribosomal RNA", at positions 591 to 1092 of the family's 1831-position model. Lineage: Eukaryota; Fungi; Glomeromycota. The record is from RNAcentral.
CCAAUAGCGUAUAUUAAAGUUGUUGCAGUUAAAAAGCUCGUAGUUGAAUUUCGGGAUCAAUAUGUCGGUCGUGCCUUGGUACGUACUGGUAUCAUUGGUUUCUCCUUUCUGACGAACCAUGAUGUCAUUAAUUUGGUGUUAUGGGAAGUUAGGACUGUUACUUUGAAAAAAUUAGAGUGUUUAAAGCAGGUUUUAGCUUGAAUACAUUAGCAUGGAAUAAUGAAAUAGGACGUUCGAACCUAUUUUGUUGGUUUCUAGGAUCAACGUAAUGAUUAAUAGGGAUAGUUGGGGGCAUUAGUAUUCAAUUGUCAGGGGUGAAAUUCUUGGAUUUAUUGAAGACUAACUACUGCGAAAGCAUUUGCCAAGGAUGUUUUCAUUAAUCAAGAACGAAAGUUAGAGGAUCGAAGACGAUCAGAUACCGUCGUAGUCUUAACCAUAAACUAUGCCGACUAGGGAUCGGAUGAUGUUAAUUUUAUAAUGACUCAUUCGGCGCCUUACG